CCUACGGGGGGCAGCAGUAGGGAAUCUUCCGCAAUGGGCGAAAGCCUGACGGAGCAAUGCCGCGUGAGUGAAGAAGGCCUUCGGGUCGUAAAACUCUGUUAUAAGAGAAGAACAAAUUGUAGAGUAACUGCUACAGUCUUGACGGUAUCUUAUCAGAAAGCCACGGCUAACUACGUGCCAGCAGCCGCGGUAAUACGUAGGUGGCAAGCGUUGUCCGGAUUUAUUGGGCGUAAAGGGAGCGCAGGUGGUUUCUUAAGUCUGAUGUGAAAGCCCACGGCUUAACCGUGGAGGGUCAUUGGAAACUGGGAAACUUGAGUACAGAAGAGGAAUGUGGAACUCCAUGUGUAGCGGUGGAAUGCGUAGAUAUAUGGAAGAACACCAGUGGCGAAGGCGACAUUCUGGUCUGUUACU
This 411-nucleotide ribosomal RNA is filed under the name uncultured Treponema sp. RNAcentral's name for it is "bacterial SSU rRNA". It matches the Rfam family "Bacterial small subunit ribosomal RNA", at positions 338 to 741 of the family's 1533-position model. The record is from RNAcentral. Lineage: Bacteria; Pseudomonadati; Spirochaetota; Spirochaetia; Treponematales; Treponemataceae.